GCAGUUAUGCCGUUUGUGAAUCUAUCACUACGACAAUGUUGUACAAUUCAUUAAUGUAGAACCACACUUUCUAUAUCAGACUAGUCUAGUAUACUUUUUAAAGCUGCUGGAACCUCUUCUGGUAUAAUCGUAGGAGUCUGAUGUAGGAAAUGCAUCGAUUAAUAUUUUUUCUGGUGUAUGUUUAUUUAUUUUCGUACAUUCGAGCAUCCAAACCAGAGUGUUGCAGAAAUCAACACGUCUGCCUCAAGACGUUCAUGUCGAGUCAAGAAAUACCAGCGUCUGAUGUAUGCCAACGCCUCCACGCUUACCUCACAUGUACCAUCAAUCUAGAGGACGCCACAGUGGAGGACGUCAAAGAGAUCCUAGACCGUGUGUUCCCAGAGUUGGACGCUCUUAACCUAA
Molecule: long non-coding RNA, 402 nt
Organism: Physella acuta
Lineage: Eukaryota; Metazoa; Mollusca; Gastropoda; Physidae
Source: RefSeq, a predicted model, not a curated record